GACAGAGGGUGCGAACGUUGUUCGGAAUUACUGGGCGUAAAGCGCGUGUAGGCGGCAGCGCAAGUCGGGCGUGAAAUCCCACGGCUCAACCGUGGAAGUGCACUCGAAACUGCGCAGCUAGAGUCCUGGAGAGGAAGGUGGAAUGCUUGGUGUAGAGGUGAAAUUCGUAGAUAUCGGGAGGAACACCAGUGGCGAAGGCGGCGAUCUGGACAGAUAUUGACGCUGAGGUGCGAAAGCGUGGGGAGCAAACAGG
This 253-nucleotide ribosomal RNA is filed under the name uncultured bacterium. RNAcentral's name for it is "partial 16S ribosomal RNA". It matches the Rfam family "Bacterial small subunit ribosomal RNA", at positions 524 to 776 of the family's 1533-position model. The record is from RNAcentral.